UACGAAGGGGGCUAGCGUUGCUCGGAAUCACUGGGCGUAAAGGGUGCGUAGGCGGGUCUUUAAGUCAGGGGUGAAAUCCUGGAGCUCAACUCCAGAACUGCCUUUGAUACUGUAGAGCUUGAGACCGGAAGAGGUAAGUGGAACUGCGAGUGUAGAGGUGAAAUUCGUAGAUAUUCGCAAGAACACCAGUGGCGAAGGCGGCUUACUGGUCCGGUUCUGACGCUGAGGCGCGAAAGCGUGGGGAGCAAACAGG
RNAcentral lists this ribosomal RNA (253 nucleotides) under uncultured bacterium. Its description in RNAcentral is "partial 16S ribosomal RNA". It matches the Rfam family "Bacterial small subunit ribosomal RNA", at positions 524 to 776 of the family's 1533-position model. The record is from RNAcentral.